UGUGUCAGUCAGUGUGUAUGUGUCAGUCAGUGUGUAUGUGUCAGUCAGUGUGUAUCCGGGGCGGCAGGUAGCCUAAUGGUUAGAGGGGCGGGCCAGUAACCGAAAGGUUGCUAGAUCAAAUCCCCGAGCUGACAAGGUAAAAAUCUGUCGUUCUGCCCCUGAACAAGGCAGUUAACCCACUGUUCCCCAGUAGGCCGUCAUUGUAAAUAAGAAUGUGUUCUUAACUGACCUGCCUAGUUAAAUAAAUGUUAAAUAUGAAUAUAUAUAUAUUUUUUAAAUCUGUCAGUCAGUGUGUAGCUGUCAGUCACCCAAUACCCCUUCAUCCCUUGUCAGGUCAAACAGUACAUACAGCAGGUAGAGAGUGUGUGUGUUGUAACCUUCCUGUCCCUGGUCCAGAUGGUACAUACAGCAGGUAGAGAGUGUGUGUGUUGUAACCUUCCUGUCCCUGGUCCAGAUGGUACAUACAGCAGGUAGAGAGUGUGUGUGUUGUAACCUUCCUGUCCCUGGUCCAGAUGGUACAUACAGCAGGUAGAGAGUGUGUGUGUUGUAACCUUCCUGUCCCUGGUCCAGAUGGUACAUACAGCAGGUAGAGAGUGUGUGUGUUGUAACCUUCCUGUCCCUGGUCCAGAUGGUACAUACAGCAGGUAGAGAGUGUGUGUGUUGUAACCUUCCUGUCCCUGGUCCAGAUGGUACAUACAGCAGGUAGAGAGUGUGUGUGUUGUAACCUUCCUGUCCCUGGUCCAGAUGGUACAUACAGCAGGUAGAGAGUGUGUGUGUUGUAACCUUCCUGUCCCUGGUCCAGAUGGUACAUACAGCAGGUAGAGAGUGUGUGUGUUGUAACCUUCCUGUCCCUGGUCCAGAUGGUACAUACAGCAGGUAGAGAGUGUGUGUGUUGUAACCUUCCUGUCCCUGGUCCAGAUGGUACAUACAGCAGGUAGAGAGUGUGUGUGUUGUAACCUUCCUGUCCCUGGUCCAGAUGGUACAUACAGCAGGUAGAGAGUGUGUGUGUUUUAACCUUCCUGUCCCUG
Long non-coding RNA from Oncorhynchus keta (chum salmon), 1028 nucleotides. RefSeq lists it as uncharacterized. The transcript is spliced from 3 exons. The record is from RefSeq and is a predicted model, not a curated record. NCBI's taxonomy places the organism in Eukaryota, Metazoa, Chordata, Actinopteri, Salmoniformes, Salmonidae.